RNAcentral lists this ribosomal RNA (468 nucleotides) under uncultured bacterium. RNAcentral describes it as "partial 16S ribosomal RNA". It matches the Rfam family "Bacterial small subunit ribosomal RNA", at positions 28 to 507 of the family's 1533-position model. The record is from RNAcentral.
GACGAACGCUGGCGGCAUGCUUAACACAUGCAAGUCGAACGGAAAGGCCCUGCUUUUGUGGGGUGCUCGAGUGGCGAACGGGUGAGUAACACGUGAGUAACCUGCCCUUGACUUUGGGAUAACUUCAGGAAACUGGGGCUAAUACCGGAUAGGAGCUCCUGCUGCAUGGUGGGGGUUGGAAAGUUUCGGCGGUUGGGGAUGGACUCGCGGCUUAUCAGCUUGUUGGUGGGGUAGUGGCUUACCAAGGCUUUGACGGGUAGCCGGCCUGAGAGGGUGACCGGCCACAUUGGGACUGAGAUACGGCCCAGACUCCUACGGGAGGCAGCAGUGGGGAAUAUUGCACAAUGGGCGGAAGCAUGAUGCAGCAACGCCGCGUGCGGGAUGACGGCCUUCGGGUUGUAAACCGCUUUCGCCUGUGACGAAGCGUGAGUGACGGUAAUGGGUAAAGAAGCACCGGCUAACUACGUG